This 467-nucleotide ribosomal RNA is filed under the name uncultured bacterium. RNAcentral's name for it is "partial 16S ribosomal RNA". It matches the Rfam family "Bacterial small subunit ribosomal RNA", at positions 28 to 507 of the family's 1533-position model. The record is from RNAcentral.
GAUGAACGCUGGCGGCGUGCUUAACACAUGCAAGUCGAACGGAAAGGCCCAAGCUUGCUUGGGUACUCGAGUGGCGAACGGGUGAGUAACACGUGGGUGAUCUGCCCUGCACUUCGGGAUAAGCCUGGGAAACUGGGUCUAAUACCGGAUAGGACCACAUUUUGGAUGGUGUGGUGGAAAGUUUUUCGGUGUGGGAUGAGCUCGCGGCCUAUCAGCUUGUUGGUGGGGUAAUGGCCUACCAAGGCGUCGACGGGUAGCCGGCCUGAGAGGGUGUACGGCCACAUUGGGAGUGAGAUACGGCCCAGACUCGUACGGGAGGCAGCAGUGGGGAAUAUUGCACAAUGGGAGCAAGCCUGAUGCAGCGACGCCGCGUGGGGGAUGACGGCCUUCGGGUUGUAAACUCCGUUCGCUAGGGACGAAGCGUUUUUGUGACGGUACCUGGAGAAGAAGCACCGGCUAACUACGUG